UACGUAGGGAUCGAGCGUUGUCCGGAAUCAUUGGGCGUAAAGAGCGUGUAGGCGGCCUUUUAAGUCCUGCGUGAAAUCCUGCGGCUCAACCGCAGACGGUCGUGGGAAACUGGAAGGCUAGAGUGCGGGAGAGGAGAGUGGAAUUCCCGGUGUAGCGGUGAAAUGCGCAGAUAUCGGGAAGAACACCCGUGGCGAAGGCGGCUCUCUGGAACGCAACUGACGCUGAGACGCGAAAGCGUGGGGAGCAAACAGG
This 253-nucleotide ribosomal RNA is filed under the name uncultured bacterium. RNAcentral describes it as "partial 16S ribosomal RNA". It matches the Rfam family "Bacterial small subunit ribosomal RNA", at positions 524 to 776 of the family's 1533-position model. The record is from RNAcentral.